RNAcentral lists this ribosomal RNA (719 nucleotides) under Comamonas sp. CCM-081. Its description in RNAcentral is "bacterial SSU rRNA". It matches the Rfam family "Bacterial small subunit ribosomal RNA", at positions 30 to 746 of the family's 1533-position model. Lineage: Bacteria; Pseudomonadati; Pseudomonadota; Betaproteobacteria; Burkholderiales; Comamonadaceae. The record is from RNAcentral.
UGAACGCUGGCGGCAUGCUUUACACAUGCAAGUCGAACGGUAACAGGUCUUCGGAUGCUGACGAGUGGCGAACGGGUGAGUAAUACAUCGGAACGUGCCUAGUAGUGGGGGAUAACUACUCGAAAGAGUAGCUAAUACCGCAUGAGAUCUACGGAUGAAAGCAGGGGACCUUCGGGCCUUGUGCUACUAGAGCGGCUGAUGGCAGAUUAGGUAGUUGGUGGGGUAAAGGCUUACCAAGCCUGCGAUCUGUAGCUGGUCUGAGAGGACGACCAGCCACACUGGGACUGAGACACGGCCCAGACUCCUACGGGAGGCAGCAGUGGGGAAUUUUGGACAAUGGGCGAAAGCCUGAUCCAGCAAUGCCGCGUGCAGGAUGAAGGCCCUCGGGUUGUAAACUGCUUUUGUACGGAACGAAAAGCCUGGGGCUAAUAUCCCCGGGUCAUGACGGUACCGUAAGAAUAAGCACCGGCUAACUACGUGCCAGCAGCCGCGGUAAUACGUAGGGUGCAAGCGUUAAUCGGAAUUACUGGGCGUAAAGCGUGCGCAGGCGGUUUUGUAAGACAGUGGUGAAAUCCCCGGGCUCAACCUGGGAACUGCCAUUGUGACUGCAAGGCUAGAGUGCGGCAGAGGGGGAUGGAAUUCCGCGUGUAGCAGUGAAAUGCGUAGAUAUGCGGAGGAACACCGAUGGCGAAGGCAAUCCCCUGGGCCUGCACUGACGC